Molecule: long non-coding RNA, 932 nt
Organism: Empidonax traillii (willow flycatcher)
Lineage: Eukaryota; Metazoa; Chordata; Aves; Passeriformes; Tyrannidae
Exons: 3
Source: RefSeq, a predicted model, not a curated record
CCUAAACCUUCCCUGGCACAGCUUGAUGCCAUUCCCUCGGGUCCUGCCAGCUGAAGCUCUCAGGGAAUUAAAGACACAGACGUGAUGUCGUGCUAAUGGUAUUGCCACCAAAAUACUGAAAUACAUUGUGAGGACCUAGAUUUCAGAUUCUGCCUGAAAAUCAGCUUCUCUGGCAUUGUAAUAUCCCAACACUGCCUCACGGGGUGGACUUGGUGCAGUUUCAGGGAGAAAAGAGCUGCUUGCAGAAUAAAAACCAUUUAUUCACAGGGAUUGUGUUUAUCACAGAGCUCGUGAAACAAGACUGUCCCAGUGAUAAUUACUAUGGCUGCAAAUAAAUAUUAUCCUUUCCUUUUUCUGUCCUACGUUCUUCAUCCUCCCUACAAAUAUCAGUGUGCUCUUCCUUUUAUAAGAUUAAUUGGAUUUUCAGUAGUGCUGAAGCACUUGCAAUCCAAAGAAGAAAAUGACACUUUCUAUAGCAAAUAAAACAUUUAAAAACUACUAGUCAACAUUAUUUUACUUGCGAAUUUCUUUGGAAAAUACCUUUAUCCUCACAUGAAAUGACAACAGAAAUAAAAACGGACAUUUUACAAGCACUGAACAAACAAAAGUGAGUGUGUAUGACUACUUCAUCUCCAAAGGAGAGUGAAGUGAUGCAUUCAACAUCUACAACAGGGGCAAAACGUUACAUUCCUGGGGCCAGAGCCAUCCUCAACACCAGGAAGGCAAGACACCUGCAUAAAAAUCCUAGGCCAGAGCUUUGAGUUCCUCCUGGAGAGCGUUUCAGCAGCCAAAAAAAGGACACUCUCAGAAGAUAAAAUGACAAAACAAAACAGCAAACAUUUGUCUUGACAAUACUAAAGGGAGAUGUGGCCCAAGAAGUUGCCUUUCUCAACGAAAAAUAACCCCUCCCACUUUACUUGGUCUUUUUGCAU